Monopterus albus (swamp eel) is the source of this 366-nucleotide long non-coding RNA. RefSeq lists it as uncharacterized. The record is from RefSeq and is a predicted model, not a curated record. The transcript is spliced from 2 exons. Lineage: Eukaryota; Metazoa; Chordata; Actinopteri; Synbranchiformes; Synbranchidae.
AGCAUAAUUGUUUAUAUUUCUAGCUUAGUUACACAACUUUUCCAGUCUUCUGUGGCCCCUGUCCCAACUUUUUGGAAGGCGUUGCAGGUGUCCUGAAAUCACCUUCACCUGCAGCAAAUGGAGACAACAUGAGACAACCUGUUCCAUCCACUCCUGCAAAAGCAGGUGAGAUCAGUUUAGCAUCAAUGUCUUUGCCUGGAGAAUAAGAUGCUCUCUCAGUGCAUGGUCUUGAAUAGCCCGUUUUCUUACAGCAGACAAUUUGACUUGCCAUGACAGGGACAGUUAGUCAGCAUGAACAAUAGCAGAAUCCUGAAACUGACACAGCUAAAUGGAAUUAAGCCUUAAUUGCUGUGACACAUCUCUUCU